Molecule: ribosomal RNA, 501 nt
Filed under: uncultured bacterium
Lineage: Bacteria
Description: partial 16S ribosomal RNA
Rfam family: Bacterial small subunit ribosomal RNA
Source: RNAcentral
GACGAACGCUGGCGGCAGGCUUAAUACAUGCAAGUCGAGGGGCAGCACAGAUAGCAAUAUUGGGUGGCGACCGGCAAACGGGUGCGGAACACGUACACAACCUUCCUUUUAGUGUGGGAUAGCCCAGAGAAAUUUGGAUUAAUACCACAUAGUAUAUUGGAGUGGCAUCACUUUGAUAUUAAAGAUUUAUCGCUAAAAGAUGGUUGUGCGUAUGAUUAGGUAGUUGGUAGAGGUAACGGCUCACCAAGCCUUCGAUCAUUAACUGGUGGGAGAGCCCGACCAGUCACACGGGCACUGAGACACGGGCCCGACUCCUACGGGAGGCAGCAGUAAGGAAUAUUGGUCAAGGGACGGAAGUCUGAACCAGCCAUGCCGCGUGAAGGAUGACGGCCCUCUGGGUUGUAAACUUCUUUUAUGUGGGACGAAAAAGGGCCAUUUUUGGUCAACUGACGGUACCAUAGGAAUAAGCACCGGCUAACUCCGUGCCAGCCGCCGCGGUAA